This 1282-nucleotide long non-coding RNA is filed under the name Pogona vitticeps (central bearded dragon). Its description in RNAcentral is "lncRNA (ENSPVIG00000021224.1)". The record is from RNAcentral. Lineage: Eukaryota; Metazoa; Chordata; Lepidosauria; Squamata; Agamidae.
UUAAAGUUAGACCCAGAUUCGGGAGCUCAAGUCCCUGAAUGAUCCAUGAAAUUCGUCCAUCUUGGGAUGCUCACUCUUGAUUGGCCUGACCUACCUCAUUGGGUGAUGAUGGCUGAUGUCUUGGUCCACCCCUCUGAUCACUGUACCACACUGGAGGAAACGGUAGUGGAGAUAAGAGCCCACUUCCAGUUCAUUGGAAGAGAGACCGGCUCUAAAACCGAUUGAUACAAAUUGUCAGGAUCUGGCUUGUCCUGCCCCAGCAGCUGCAGGAUCGGGGCCAGCCUGACUCAGGAAUGGCCGGGUGUUUGCAGGAUCAGGCCCUGGCCUGUGUAGCAGCUGCUGGGCCACUCAUGAGGCUCACCUGGAAACCUGGAAGGAAGGCUUAUUUAAGGACCGGUUCUCCCUCCCAGAACGGGUCUAACAGAAAUUUUUUUUCCUGAUAUUCAACCAAUAAUCUUAUUAGACCAUCAAAAUUUUAAACAUGGGGAACCUUGAGAGUCCUAUCAGGUCCUUCUUCCAGGGAGACCUUGAAGUUCUUGAGAAGAUGGGAAGUUCUUGAGAGACGGCUCCAAAAAUCAUCCUCUUUCAGCAUCUGAAUAAUCGCCGAGGAUGUCCUCUGUUGCCUUUGGCUGAAACAUAUCGCUCCCAUUUCGUAAGCAGAAGCGUCCUGCUGGAUUCAAAAGCUUUCCUAUUCCGAAUAUUUAAAUUUAAAAGUUCCUUCUUUUGGGACAACUUCUCUCCCCUCAUGUCGUUAUAUUUGACGGUGGGGGCCACGUUUUCGUCGUUUAGCGCAGCCAGGUUUGCCUCCAGUCGUUUUUCGCUUUGUUUUUUUUCCAUCGUCUACUUUAAUGGGAAAAACAAUUAAAAUUUAUGAGGUGGAUGAUGCUGAGGCACACUGGAUUUCCUUUUUACCUGGCUCGCCCGCGGAUGGAUGUCUCUUUGGGAUCUCCGACAUUGAAGGGAAAAGCUGGCUGGGUCUGUAGGAGAGAGAGAAAAAAAACACACAACCCAACACCUCUGUCCACUUCUUCAAUUCUAGAAGAGGUAAAUUACUGCCGACCCAGAGAAGUAGUUAUUCAUACGCCAAUAGGUGAGGCUGAAUCUCUGUGCCUCUACACACGUGUAACGGAGAUGGACACCCUUCAAAUCCGCUCCUGAUGAGGCGGCCCUUUCGACACAUUCAUGGCUCCGCAUGGCUCCCCAGUGACUCAGGACCUUUUGUUGAAGCACAUAUGAAAUUAAGUGAAAUAAAAAUCAUAUUAAAAAUUAUUACCGCCGAACA